This 4054-nucleotide long non-coding RNA is filed under the name Eutrema salsugineum. Its description in RNAcentral is "long non-coding RNA (ESAL_LNC001539)". Lineage: Eukaryota; Viridiplantae; Streptophyta; Magnoliopsida; Brassicales; Brassicaceae. The record is from RNAcentral.
AGAGCGCCGGUUAGUGCGUUUGUGUAAUCUUUGAUUGAUAGUGAAAGUUGUGGGAGACGGUUCCCACCCCAGACGUAGCGGUUCGAGGCCGUGAACUGGGUGAUCAAACUUUUGUGUUAUUUAAGUUUCUAAUCAUCUAAUAGAUCCUAAGAUCUAAGCACUCAGGAGAAGUUAAAAAUCCUUACAAGUGGUAUCAGAGCAAUCCAGGUUUGAGUGCUAGAAGGAUUAGAUUAGAAACUCAAUGAUGACGACACAAAAGAUGGAGGUGAGCAUGUUCGACGGAUCAGGUGAUUUUGUGAUCUGGAAGAAAAGGAUGCUCGCGUACUUAACCGUUCAAGGUUUGAAAGAUGUUCUUACGUAACCGACAUCCAAAGACGUGGAUGAAAAAGAUCCAGAGGCAAUAAAGAAAAAGAGCAAAGAUGAAGCUUCCAGACUGGAGCGAGAUGAAAAGGCUUUGAAUCUUAUUUUCAUGUGUGUUGGAGAUCAUGUCUUAAGAAAACUAGACAAGUGCGUAACCGCAGCUCAAGCGUGGGCUACUCUUGAGAGGCUUUACAUGGCAAAGACUUUGCCUAAUUGGGUCCAUUCUCAGCUUAAGGUGUAUUCUUUUAGAAUGCAGGAUUCAAGAUCAAUUGAUCAGAAUGUAGAUGACUUCUUGAAGCUGACUGCAGAUUUGAGCAACCUCAACAUUGAGAUACCAGAAGAAGUUCAAGAAAUACUUUGGGAGUGUUUGGAUGCAAACACUAAAUGUGCUUCUGUUUUAAUAGAAUAGAUUUUAUUUUGAAGAAUUUGAUGAUUUUUAGUUUGAUUUAUUUGUUGAAUUUUAUUCUAUAAUUUUAUUUAUUAAUUUUUCUUACUUUUUUAUUCAAACAUAAAUUUGAUAAAAUAAGUUUUAAGAAAACAAUUAAAGCUUUUUUAAAAAUAUGAUAUAUAGAUAGAAAAUUUAUAAAAAUUAACAAAAAUUUUGCUAACGCUUAGGCUCCGCCUAGUCUCCGACUAACCCGCUUAGGCGCUAGUCUCCUAUCGUCUAGCGAUUUUUUGAACAUUGGUAUGUAUGAUGUACAACUAUCGAAGGGUGAAUUGAUGUGUUUAGCAAUUGAGCCUGCAAGGCUACGACGCUACGCGAAAAAAAAAACUAAUUUCAAAUAAUAUUUUUUUGUUAAGGAAUUUAAAAAGGGACAAUAACUAUAAAGUACCAAAAAAUAUAUUAUAUUACUAAAAUAUAUCGAAUGUUUUAAAAAUUACUAUAUUGUCCGAUUAUGUUAUAAAUGGCUAUAAUACCCUUUAAUAUGUUCUUAUCCAAAAACAUAAUAACGAAACUGUCAUUAUGUUUUUAUUAGAACGAGGUGAUUAUUUACACAAUUGCCACCGCUUUUUAUUCCCAUUAAACCACCAACGAAAAUAUGUCUACGGACUUUGAUAAAGGAGACAUAUUGGAUUUGAAUAGACUUAACGAUUUUGGUAGACUUGUGCGUUGUACUUCAUGAUAUUGUAGACUUAAUUGGUAGACUUAUUUGGCAGACCGUGUAGAUUUAUUUGCUGUCGUAAGACUGUAAAGGUAAACUUUUGAAUUCGUAGACUUAGUUAUGUAAUUUAUUCGACUAUAGACUUUUAGUGUCGACUUAUUCGUUUAACGUGCAGACUUAAAUGGAAACGAGGAAAUAUGACUUCGUAGACUUAUUUUGGAUUUAGACUUAUUAUGUAAACCUCAGAAGAGGUAGACUUAGUGAGCAGACUUAAUGUUAUUGGAGGCAGAUAUAUGAAAAUGUGGUCCUAGACUUUUUGGUUUGUAGAUUUAAUAAAGUUAUUGGAGGCAAAGUCGAAGUCGAAGUCAAAGAUUUGAGGCGACCGACGCUUGCAAAGUCGAAGAGAUCUGUCCGUUAAACCUGAUUCUAGGGUUCGGUGAGGGAGAGUGGCCGCGCCGCGAUGCCAAGUCGAAGAGGAUUGUAUUCUGAACUCGAGGAUUUGUGGCCACCGACGCUUGCAAAGUCGAAGAUUUCAGGCGACCGAGGCUUGCAAAGUGAAGAGUUCUGUCCGUUAAACCGGAAUCUCGGGUUUCGACGACGCAAAGAGAGUGUUGGCCGCAGAGAAAAAGAAAGAAGAGAAGAUGAAAAGUUACUUUUCAGUAAAUGAGAUAAAUGAGAUAAAUAAUGUUAACUUGAUGUAAAAUCUCAAAACUUUUCACCUCUUUUUUUUUUAAAAUGGCAUAAAUCGUAAUAUUAUGAGUUUUAAAGGGGAUACAAGUAAUAUCCAGGGUCCAUUUUGUAUCAAAUGUAAAACUGGGUUUCUCUAGUAAUAUUAGGAAACUUUUGGUAUAUUUUAAGUAAUUUCCUAUUUAAAAAUUAGAGAAAAUGUCGAAAAAUAGAGGGAAAUGAAGAGGGUUUUUUCUCCGUACAACGGAAGAAUCCAGAAGUCAUUAUAUUUCGAGCUUGAACCUAAAAAUGGAGGAAUUUGGAGAAGAAAGUGACGAGAAGACGAUGGAUUACUCUGGUGAAAGCACUAGGAUCCAAAAGGUUCAGCACCAAGUCCGUGUCGAGAUCGAGUCCCUCUUCGAUGGUGUUGAUUUCUCCGAGCCACUGACCAGAGCUCGUUUCGAGGAGCUGAUCAAUGACUUGUUCAGGAAGACGAUGGGACACGUGAAUGAUGCUGCUGGUUUACAGAAGAGCCAUAUCGAAGAGAUUGUACUCGUUGGUGGAAGCACUAGGAUCCGAAAGAUUCAGCAGAUGUUGAAGGAUUUCUUUGAAGGGAAAGAGCCGAUCUAUGGUCUGUGUAAGCUUCGGUUUGCUCACGGUGGAGUCGAGGUUAGUUCUGUUUUACUGCUAUUUGAUUUAAUCCUUCAAAUGUAGUUUGAUUUCAAACCUCUUCAGCCAAAUGCUUCAAGUCAUAUCCAACCUGUUUUCCCAUAGAUGAGUCUCGAUCUGUCUAGAUUCUAAAACAGAGAUUUCUCUGUGGCUUGUUGAUUAUUUUUGUUGUUGUUGUUGAAUGUGUUCAUUAUUCACUUUCUAAAUGUGUUCGUAUUCAGUCUUUGCAACUGAUGUUUCGGCUAGUGUGUUCUGAUAUUGUUCAGUCUUUCGUCUCAUCAUUGAUGGUCUUUGAAUGUAUGCUUCUGAUAUUGUAUGCAUGUUAUGCUACUGGUUCUGAUUUUGCAUCUAAAGAGUAGUAGCCAGAAGAUUUAUAGUUUCUCCUAUUUAUUUAACAGGUUACACUGGAUAAGCAUAAGAUGAUGAGAGCAGAAAAUCCUGAGCUUGUUUGGUCUUCGUCACCUGAAGUUUCGAAUUACAAAGAGUGCAGGGUGCUCACACGAAUCCCCCGGUUUGCUUCCUCUUCUUGAUUCAACUAAUGGUCUUUGGUUCAUAACUCUUUCGAGUCUUAUUGGGGGAUCUAUCUCAUUUUCCAUGCUUUAUAGUUUCUUAUCUCUUCUCGCUUGCAUUGUAUUAAUCAAAGUUGCAUCUCUCUGCAGAAAUAUCGAUAAACAACCAAAUUGGUAUAGAUAUCAGUCAAGCUCUAUCGGGAAAAAAGUUGUCUCCUCUGAAGGAUCUGUUUCAGGAGGUAUUUUUGUUAAUAUGUUUAUGCAGAUAACGUGUUCAGGGGAUUUUGUGUUUCCAUUAUGUUAGUGUUAUUGACGGUUGGGAUUCAUAUAUGCUUCAGGAUCUCUAUUUGCGUCUUCCACUGCUAAAGAAGAGGCCACCAAGUUUGGAACAGUUAUAGGGAUAGAUUUUGGCACACCAUACUCUUGUGUUGGUGUUUACAAGAAUGAUAAUGUCGAAAUCAUAGCAAAAGACCAAGGAAACCGUAUGACACAUUCCUGGGUUGGUUUCACCGACUCCGAGAGGCUCAUUGAUGAGGCUGCUAUGAACCAGGCUGCUGUAAAUCCCGCGAGUACCAUCUAUGCCAUGACUUUGAAAAAGAUGAAGAAAAUCAAGGACGCUGUUAUCACUGGCCCAGGUCAAUUUCUGCUUCAUCAUACUUCGUGGAGAAUAUAUAUAUAUAUAUUCAUCUGUAUAGUUGAUUGUUUCUUAUAUCUCGCUUUGACUAUGUGCAGCUUACUUCAAUGAUG